CGGGACGUAGCGCAGCCUGGUAGCGCACCUGCUUUGGGAGCAGACAAGAGGGGGUUGCUCAAGUCCUUGAUAGCCUGGGCAAUCCCCUUGCCCCGC
This 96-nucleotide transfer RNA is filed under the name Nitrospiraceae bacterium AH_259_D15_M11_P09. RNAcentral describes it as "tRNA-Pro". Lineage: Bacteria; Pseudomonadati; Nitrospirota; Nitrospiria; Nitrospirales; Nitrospiraceae. The record is from RNAcentral.